Molecule: ribosomal RNA, 1390 nt
Filed under: Dechloromonas sp.
Lineage: Bacteria; Pseudomonadati; Pseudomonadota; Betaproteobacteria; Rhodocyclales; Azonexaceae
Description: bacterial SSU rRNA
Rfam family: Bacterial small subunit ribosomal RNA
Source: RNAcentral
CAGCACGGGCUUCGGUCUGGUGGCGAGUGGCGAACGGGUGAGUAAUGUAUCGGAACGUACCUUUCAGUGGGGGAUAACGUAGCGAAAGUUACGCUAAUACCGCAUAUUCUGUGAGCAGGAAAGCAGGGGAUCGCAAGACCUUGCGCUGAUUGAGCGGCCGAUAUCAGAUUAGCUAGUUGGUGGGGUAAAGGCCUACCAAGGCUACGAUCUGUAGCGGGUCUGAGAGGAUGAUCCGCCACACUGGAACUGAGACACGGUCCAGACUCCUACGGGAGGCAGCAGUGGGGAAUUUUGGACAAUGGGGGCAACCCUGAUCCAGCCAUGCCGCGUGAGUGAAGAAGGCCUUCGGGUUGUAAAGCUCUUUCGGCCGGGAAGAAAUCGCAUAGGUUAAUACCCUGUGUGGAUGACGGUACCGGAAUAAGAAGCACCGGCUAACUACGUGCCAGCAGCCGCGGUAAUACGUAGGGUGCGAGCGUUAAUCGGAAUUACUGGGCGUAAAGCGUGCGCAGGCGGUUUCGUAAGACAGAGGUGAAAUCCCCGGGCUCAACCUGGGAACUGCCUUUGUGACUGCGAAGCUAGAGUACGGCAGAGGGGGGUGGAAUUCCACGUGUAGCAGUGAAAUGCGUAGAGAUGUGGAGGAACACCGAUGGCGAAGGCAGCCCCCUGGGCCGAUACUGACGCUCAUGCACGAAAGCGUGGGUAGCAAACAGGAUUAGAUACCCUGGUAGUCCACGCCCUAAACGAUGUCAACUAGGUGUUGGGUGGGUAAAACCAUUUAGUACCGUAGCUAACGCGUGAAGUUGACCGCCUGGGGAGUACGGCCGCAAGGUUAAAACUCAAAGGAAUUGACGGGGACCCGCACAAGCGGUGGAUGAUGUGGAUUAAUUCGAUGCAACGCGAAAAACCUUACCUACCCUUGACAUGUUCAGAAUCCCGAAGAGAUUUGGGAGUGCCCGAAAGGGAGCUGGAACACAGGUGCUGCAUGGCUGUCGUCAGCUCGUGUCGUGAGAUGUUGGGUUAAGUCCCGCAACGAGCGCAACCCUUGUCGUUAAUUGCCAUCAUUUAGUUGGGCACUUUAACGAGACUGCCGGUGACAAACCGGAGGAAGGUGGGGAUGACGUCAAGUCCUCAUGGCCCUUAUGGGUAGGGCUUCACACGUCAUACAAUGGUCGGUACAGAGGGUUGCCAAGCCGCGAGGUGGAGCCAAUCCCAGAAAGCCGAUCGUAGUCCGGAUUGCAGGCUGCAACUCGCCUGCAUGAAGUCGGAAUCGCUAGUAAUCGCGGAUCAGCAUGUCGCGGUGAAUACGUUCCCGGGUCUUGUACACACCGCCCGUCACACCAUGGGAGCGGGUUCCGCCAGAAGUAGGUAGCCUAACCGCAAGGGGGGCGCU